Molecule: transfer RNA, 70 nt
Filed under: Gemmatimonadota bacterium
Lineage: Bacteria; Pseudomonadati; Gemmatimonadota
Description: Gemmatimonadetes bacterium (sponge metagenome) tRNA-Ser
Rfam family: tRNA (bases 1-58)
About the family: Transfer RNA (tRNA) molecules are approximately 80 nucleotides in length. Their secondary structure includes four short double-helical elements and three loops (D, anti-codon, and T loops).
Source: RNAcentral
GGAGGGAUGGCUGAGCGGCUAAAAGCGGCGCCCUGCUAAGGCGUUGGUCCUCCCUCCGUGACUCCCUCCG